RNAcentral lists this ribosomal RNA (427 nucleotides) under uncultured bacterium. RNAcentral describes it as "partial 16S ribosomal RNA". It matches the Rfam family "Bacterial small subunit ribosomal RNA", at positions 354 to 796 of the family's 1533-position model. The record is from RNAcentral.
GUGGGGAAUAUUGGGCAAUGGGGGCAACCCUGACCCAGCGACGCCGCGUGGGUGAAGAAAUCCCUCGGGAUGUAAAGCCCUGUUGUAUGGGAAGAGCAGAAGACGGUACCAUACGAGGAAGCCCCGGCAAACUACGUGCCAGCAGCCGCGGUAAUACGUAGGGGGCAAGCGUUGUCCGGAAUUACUGGGCGUAAAGCGCACGCAGGCUGAAUUAUAAGUCGGUAGUCAAAUACGGAGGCUCAACUUCCGGAUAUCUAUCGAUACUGUAAAUCUAGAGUAUGUGAGAGGGAAGCGGAAUUCCCGGUGUAGCGGUGAAAUGCGUAGAUAUCAGGAGGAACACCAGUGGCGAAGGCGGCUUCCUGGCACAAUACUGACGCUCAUGUGCGAAAGCUAGGGCAGCGAACGGGAUUAGAAACCCUUGUAGUCC